This is a long non-coding RNA of Aquila chrysaetos chrysaetos, 131 nucleotides long. RefSeq lists it as uncharacterized. The record is from RefSeq and is a predicted model, not a curated record. Lineage: Eukaryota; Metazoa; Chordata; Aves; Accipitriformes; Accipitridae. The transcript is spliced from 3 exons.
UCUUUUUUAAAAAAAAUAAUUUAAGUAGACAAUUUUGAAACAAAAAUCUCUGCCUUUAUUUUUAAUGCCAGCACUGCUAUGUCUUGUUACAGGGACAAACAGAUUUUUAAGAAAUGCUUAUACACCACCCC